This 495-nucleotide ribosomal RNA is filed under the name uncultured bacterium. RNAcentral's name for it is "partial 16S ribosomal RNA". It matches the Rfam family "Bacterial small subunit ribosomal RNA", at positions 28 to 507 of the family's 1533-position model. The record is from RNAcentral.
GAUGAACGCUGGCGGCGUGCCUAAUACAUGCAAGUAGAACGCUGAAGGAGGAGCUUGCUCUUCUGGAUGAGUUGCGAACGGGUGAGUAACGCGUAGGUAACCUGCCUGGUAGCGGGGGAUAACUAUUGGAAACGAUAGCUAAUACCGCAUGACAACAGUUAUUGCAUGAUAACUGUUUAAAAGGGGCAACUGCUCCACUACCAGAUGGACCUGCGUUGUACUAGCUAGUUGGUGAGGUAACGGCUCACCAAGGCGACGAUACAUAGCCGACCUGAGAGGGUGAUCGGCCACACUGGGACUGAGACACGGCCCAGACUCCUACGGGAGGCAGCAGUAGGGAAUCUUCGGCAAUGGACGGAAGUCUGACCGAGCAACGCCGCGUGAGUGAAGAAGGUUUUCGGAUCGUAAAGCUCUGUUGUAAGAGAAGAACGAGUGUGAGAGUGGAAAGUUCACACUGUGACGGUAUCUUACCAGAAAGGGACGGCUAACUACGUG